RNAcentral lists this ribosomal RNA (481 nucleotides) under uncultured bacterium. RNAcentral's name for it is "partial 16S ribosomal RNA". It matches the Rfam family "Bacterial small subunit ribosomal RNA", at positions 28 to 507 of the family's 1533-position model. The record is from RNAcentral.
GACGAACGUUGGCGGCGUGCUUAAUACAUGCAAGUCAACUGAAGCAGUGGUAGCAAUAUCGCUGUGGAGGUGGCGCACGGGUGAGUAACACGUAGGUAAUCUGCCUUCAGGUCUGGCAUAACUCCGGGAAACCGGGGCUAAUAGCAGAUGAUGCAGCGGCUCGACAUCGAGACAGUUGUUAAAGCUAUGGCGCCUGAAGAUGAGCCUGCGUCUGAUUAGCUAGUUGGCGGGGUAACGGCCCACCAAGGCAACGAUCAGUAGCUGGUCUGAGAGGAUGAUCAGCCACACUGGAACUGAGACACGGUCCAGACUCCUACGGGAGGCAGAAGUAAGGAAUAUUGCUCAAUGGGAGAAAUCCUGAAGCAGCAACGCCGCGUGAGGGACGAAGGGCUUUUGCUUGUAAACCUCUGUAGUGAGAGAAAAAAAUCCCAAUCUUUGGGACAUGAUGGUAUCUCAAAAGUAAGCCCCGGCUAACUACGUG